GACGAACGCUGGCGGCGUGCCUAAUACAUGCAAGUAGAACGCUGAAGAGAGGAGCUUGCUCUUCUUGGAUGAGUUGCGAACGGGUGAGUAACGCGUAGGUAACCUGCCUUGUAGCGGGGGAUAACUAUUGGAAACGAUAGCUAAUACCGCAUAACAAUGGAUGACCCAUGUCAUUUAUUUGAAAGGGGCAAAUGCUCCACUACAAGAUGGACCUGCGUUGUAUUAGCUAGUAGGUGAGGUAACGGCUCACCUAGGCGACGGUACAUAGCCGACCUGAGAGGGUGAUCGGCCACACUGGGACUGGGACACGGCCCAGACUCCUACGGGAGGCAGCAGUAGGGAAUCUGCGGCAAUGGGGGCAACCCUGACCGAGCAACGCCGCGUGAGUGAAGAAGGUUUUCGGAUCGUAAAGCUCUGUUGUAAGUCAAGAACGAGUGUGAGAGUGGAAAGUUCACACUGUGACGGUAGCUUACCAGAAAGGGACGGCUAACUACGUG
This 497-nucleotide ribosomal RNA is filed under the name uncultured bacterium. RNAcentral describes it as "partial 16S ribosomal RNA". It matches the Rfam family "Bacterial small subunit ribosomal RNA", at positions 28 to 507 of the family's 1533-position model. The record is from RNAcentral.